This 72-nucleotide transfer RNA is filed under the name Ovis aries (sheep). It matches the Rfam family "tRNA". Rfam says of the family: Transfer RNA (tRNA) molecules are approximately 80 nucleotides in length. Their secondary structure includes four short double-helical elements and three loops (D, anti-codon, and T loops). Further hydrogen bonds mediate the characteristic L-shaped molecular structure. tRNAs have two regions of fundamental functional importance: the anti-codon, which is responsible for specific mRNA codon recognition, and the 3' end, to which the tRNAs corresponding amino acid is attached (by aminoacyl-tRNA synthetases). tRNAs cope with the degeneracy of the genetic code in two manners: having more than one tRNA (with a specific anti-codon) for a particular amino acid; and 'wobble' base-pairing, i.e. permitting non-standard base-pairing at the 3rd anti-codon position. The record is from Rfam by way of RNAcentral. Lineage: Eukaryota; Metazoa; Chordata; Mammalia; Artiodactyla; Bovidae.
UCUCUGGUGGCUCAGACAGUAAAGAAUCUGCUUACAAUGCAGAAGACACAGGUUCAAUUCCUGGUUCAGGAA